Transfer RNA from Fusarium oxysporum f. sp. cubense, 72 nucleotides. It matches the Rfam family "tRNA". Rfam says of the family: Transfer RNA (tRNA) molecules are approximately 80 nucleotides in length. The record is from Rfam. NCBI's taxonomy places the organism in Eukaryota, Fungi, Ascomycota, Sordariomycetes, Hypocreales, Nectriaceae.
GGCUUCAUGGUCUAGCGGUAUGAUUCUCGCUUUGGGUGCGAGAGGUCCCGGGUUCAAUCCCCGGUGGAGCCC